UGGGGAAUAUUGGACAAUGGGGGAAACCCUGAUCCAGCAAUGCCGCGUGAGUGAAGAAGGCCUUAGGGUUGUAAAGCUCUUUCGCCCGCGAAGACAAUGACGGUAGCGGGAGAAGAAGCCCCGGCUAACUCCGUGCCAGCAGCCGCGGUAAUACGGAGGGGGCUAGCGUUGUUCGGAAUUACUGGGCGUAAAGCGUACGUAGGCGGAUGCGCAAGUUGGGGGUGAAAUCCCGGGGCUUAACCUCGGAAUUGCCCUCAAAACUGCACGUCUUGAGACCGAGAGAGGUAAGGGGAAUUCCUAGUGUAGAGGUGAAAUUCGUAGAUAUUAGGAAGAACACCAGUGGCGAAGGCGCCUUACUGACUCGGUACUGACGCUGAGGUACGAAAGCGUGGGGAGCAAACA
RNAcentral lists this ribosomal RNA (402 nucleotides) under uncultured bacterium. RNAcentral describes it as "bacterial SSU rRNA". It matches the Rfam family "Bacterial small subunit ribosomal RNA", at positions 355 to 774 of the family's 1533-position model. The record is from RNAcentral.